UCGGAACAUACCCUAGAGUGGGGGAUAACGUAGCGAAAGUUACGCUAAUACCGCAUACGCACUAUGGUGGAAAGCAGGGGAUCGCAAGACCUUGCGCUCAUGGAGUGGCCGAUGUCAGAUUAGCUUGUUGGUGGGGUAAAAGCCUACCAAGGCGACGAUCUGUAGCUGGUCUGAGAGGACGACCAGCCACACUGGAACUGAGACACGGUCCAG
RNAcentral lists this ribosomal RNA (213 nucleotides) under uncultured bacterium. Its description in RNAcentral is "partial 16S ribosomal RNA". It matches the Rfam family "Bacterial small subunit ribosomal RNA", at positions 118 to 334 of the family's 1533-position model. The record is from RNAcentral.